RNAcentral lists this transfer RNA (92 nucleotides) under Staphylococcus warneri. Its description in RNAcentral is "tRNA-Glu". The stretch from base 1 to 64 matches the Rfam family "tRNA", at positions 9 to 71 of the family's 71-position model. From Rfam's summary of the family: Transfer RNA (tRNA) molecules are approximately 80 nucleotides in length. The record is from RNAcentral. Lineage: Bacteria; Bacillati; Bacillota; Bacilli; Caryophanales; Staphylococcaceae.
GGUCAAGCGGUUAAGACACCGCCCUUUCACGGCGGUAACACGGGUUCGAGUCCCGGUCACGCAGGAGAUCGCGGGUUCGAUUCCCGUCGAGA